Molecule: ribosomal RNA, 497 nt
Filed under: uncultured bacterium
Lineage: Bacteria
Description: partial 16S ribosomal RNA
Rfam family: Bacterial small subunit ribosomal RNA
Source: RNAcentral
GAUGAACGCUGGCGGCGUGCCUAAUACAUGCAAGUCGAGCGAACAGACGAGGAGCUUGCUCCUCUGACGUUAGCGGCGGACGGGUGAGUAACACGUGGAUAACCUACCUAUAAGACUGGGAUAACUUCGGGAAACCGGAGCUAAUACCGGAUAAUAUAUUGAACCGCAUGGUUCAAUAGCGAAAGACGGUUUUGCUGUCACUUAUAGAUGGAUCCGCGCCGCAUUAGCUAGUUGGUAAGGUAACGGCUUACCAAGGCAACGAUGCGUAGCCGACCUGAGAGGGUGAUCGGCCACACUGGAACUGAGACACGGUCCAGACUCCUACGGGAGGCAGCAGUAGGGAAUCUUCGGCAAUGGGCGAAAGCCUGACGGAGCAACGCCGCGUGAGUGAUGAAGGUCUUCGGAUCGUAAAACUCUGUUAUUAGGGAAGAACAAAUGUGUAAGUAAAUAUGCACGUCUUGACGGUACCUAAUCAGAAAGCCACGGCUAACUACGUG